RNAcentral lists this ribosomal RNA (267 nucleotides) under uncultured bacterium. RNAcentral describes it as "partial 16S ribosomal RNA". It matches the Rfam family "Bacterial small subunit ribosomal RNA", at positions 335 to 596 of the family's 1533-position model. The record is from RNAcentral.
ACUCCUACGGGAGGCAGCAGUGGGGAAUAUUGCACAAUGGGCGCAAGCCUGAUGCAGCCAUGCCGCGUGUGUGAAGAAGGCCUUCGGUUGUAAAUGCACUUUCAGUCGUGAGGAAGGUGGUGUUGUUAAUAGCAGCAUCAUUUGACGUUAGCGACAGAAGAAGCACCGGCUAACUCCGUGCCAGNACCGCGGAAUACGGAGGGUGCGAGCGUUAAUCGGAAUUACUGGGCGUAAAGCGCAUGCAGGUGGUUUGUUAAGUCAGAUGUG